RNAcentral lists this ribosomal RNA (903 nucleotides) under uncultured marine bacterium. RNAcentral's name for it is "bacterial SSU rRNA". It matches the Rfam family "Bacterial small subunit ribosomal RNA", at positions 59 to 1008 of the family's 1533-position model. The record is from RNAcentral.
AAGUCGAACGGAGUAGCAAUACUCAGUGGCAGACGGGUGAGUAACAUGUGGGUAUCUUCCCUUUGGUGAGGAAUAACACGAGGAAACUUGUGCUAAUACCUCAUAAGUCUUUACGGAGAAAGCUUUAUGCGCCAUUGGAUGAGCCCGCACUUGAUUAGUUUGUUGGUGGGGUAAAGGCCUACCAAGACUAUGAUCAAUAGCUGAUUUGAGAGGAUGAUCAGCCACAUUGGGACUGAGACACGGCCCAAACUCCUACGGGAGGCAGCAGUAGGGAAUCUUGCACAAUGGAGGAAACUCUGAUGCAGCGAUGCCGCGUGAGUGAAGAAGGCCUUUGGGUUGUAAAGCUCUUUCGUCGGGGAAGAAAAUGACUGUACUCGAAUAGGAAGGUCCGGCUAACUUCGUGCCAGCAGCCGCAGUAAUACGAAGGGACCUAGCGUAGCUCGGAAUUACUGGGCUUAAAGAGUUCGUAGGUGGUUAAAAAAGUUGGUGGUGAAAUCCCAGAGCUUAACUCUGGAACUGCCAUCAAAACUUUUUAGCUAGAGUAUGAUAGAGGAAAGCAGAAUUUCUAGUGUAGAGGUGAAAUUCGUAGAUAUUAGAAAGAAUACCAAUUGCGAAGGCAGCUUUCUGGAUCAUUACUGACACUGAGGAACGAAAGCAUGGGUAGCGAAGAGGAUUAGAUACCCUCGUAGUCCAUGCCGUAAACGAUGUGUGUUAGACGUUGGAAAUUUAUUUUCAGUGUCGCAGCGAAAGCAAUAAACACACCGCCUGGGGAGUACGACCGCAAGGUUAAAACUCAAAUGAAUUGACGGGGACCCGCACAAGUAGUGGAGCAUGUGGUUUAAUUCGAAGAUACGCGCAGAACCUUACCAACACUUGACAUGUUCGCCGCGACUUUAAGAGAUU